This 74-nucleotide transfer RNA is filed under the name Heliconius melpomene (postman butterfly). RNAcentral describes it as "tRNA HMEL015523". The record is from RNAcentral. Lineage: Eukaryota; Metazoa; Arthropoda; Insecta; Lepidoptera; Nymphalidae.
UGACGUAUGGGUUAGUUGGUCAGAUCACCUGGACGGUUUCCAAGAGGCGCGGGUUCAAAUCUCGCUGCGAUCAA